Molecule: unclassified non-coding RNA, 269 nt
Filed under: Glomus sp.
Lineage: Eukaryota; Fungi; Glomeromycota; Glomeromycetes; Glomerales; Glomeraceae
Description: partial contains 5.8S ribosomal RNA and internal transcribed spacer 2
Rfam family: 5.8S ribosomal RNA (bases 1-65)
Source: RNAcentral
GUGAAUCAUCGAAUUUUUGAACGCAAAUUGCACUCUCCUCGGAGAGUAUGCCUGUUUGAGGGUCAGCCUCUAAAAAAUCGACAUCGUUGCUGUUUCGCGGUUGCGUUCGUCGGAAAUUGGGUCAUCUUAAAUCAUUUUGAUUUAAGCGACUUAAAAUUUUCUUUUGGUUCCAUGAACUUUACUCGGAUCUAUUUCUUUACACUUUUCGGGUAUCGUUUUUUCCUAAACGUGACCAUCAUCUCUCAUCUCGUCCAUAUUCUUUCCUUAAC